CGGAGCGACGCCGCGUGUGGGAAGAAGGCCUUCGGGUCGUAAACCACUGUCGAAGGGACUAUAAUGAAUGUACCCUUGGAGGAAGCCCGGCUAACUACGCGC
Molecule: ribosomal RNA, 102 nt
Filed under: uncultured bacterium
Lineage: Bacteria
Description: partial 16S ribosomal RNA
Rfam family: Bacterial small subunit ribosomal RNA
Source: RNAcentral